CCCUUAGAUGUUCUGGGCUGCACCCGUGCUACACUGGCAGGUUCAGCGAGCUUCAUGCCCUGAUCUGAAAGGGAUGGGAAAUCUUUUCAAAACCUGCCGUGCUUGGGAUAGAUGUUUGCAAUUAUUCAUCUUCAACGAGGAUUGCCUUGUAAGCGCACGUCAUCAGCGUGCAUUGAAUACGACCCUGUAUUCUGUACACACCGCCCGUCGCUCCUACCGAUUGAAGUUUUCGGUGAGUUGACAGGAGGAUUUUUUUGAAACUGGUUCGCCAGUGGAUUUUAGAUCCAAAUGCCAACGAAUCGAUGGCUUUAGAGGAAGGAGAAGUCGUAACA
Molecule: ribosomal RNA, 332 nt
Filed under: uncultured eukaryote
Lineage: Eukaryota
Description: partial 18S ribosomal RNA
Rfam family: Eukaryotic small subunit ribosomal RNA
Source: RNAcentral